GCGGUCGUAGCUCAAUUGGAUAGAGCAACAGGCUUCGAACCUGUAGGCUGGGGGUUCGAGCCCCUCCGACCGCG
This 74-nucleotide transfer RNA is filed under the name Candidatus Dormiibacterota bacterium. RNAcentral's name for it is "tRNA-Arg". It matches the Rfam family "tRNA". From Rfam's summary of the family: Transfer RNA (tRNA) molecules are approximately 80 nucleotides in length. Their secondary structure includes four short double-helical elements and three loops (D, anti-codon, and T loops). Further hydrogen bonds mediate the characteristic L-shaped molecular structure. tRNAs have two regions of fundamental functional importance: the anti-codon, which is responsible for specific mRNA codon recognition, and the 3' end, to which the tRNAs corresponding amino acid is attached (by aminoacyl-tRNA synthetases). tRNAs cope with the degeneracy of the genetic code in two manners: having more than one tRNA (with a specific anti-codon) for a particular amino acid; and 'wobble' base-pairing, i.e. permitting non-standard base-pairing at the 3rd anti-codon position. Lineage: Bacteria; Bacillati; Candidatus Dormiibacterota. The record is from RNAcentral. RNAcentral also lists the same sequence under 5 other names.